Non-coding RNA from Paramuricea clavata, 214 nucleotides. The record is from the annotation of a GenBank genome assembly. Lineage: Eukaryota; Metazoa; Cnidaria; Anthozoa; Malacalcyonacea; Plexauridae.
GAGAACAACAGUGUUUUCACCGUAAAUGCAAUUGGAAUUCCUUGUAUAAGUGGCGAAAUCACCGAAGUUGAAGUGGAAGAAAUGGAAAAGUAUUUUGGCCUGAAAAGACACACAUUAAAUCGAGGAAGUGGCAAACUGGAUGUAUUAAUUGGUAUAGAUCAUGCUACCAUGCAUACCGGUGAAAUAAAGCAAGUUGGCAAUAUGGUCGCCCGUC